AGAGUGAACGCUGGCGGUAGGCCUAACACAUGCAAGUCGAACGGCAGCACGGUAAGAGCUUGCUCUUAUGGGUGGCGAGUGGCGGACGGGUGAGGAAUACAUCGGAAUCUACCUUUUGGUGGGGGAUAACGUAGGGAAACUUACGCUAAUACCGCAUACGCCCUUCGGGGGAAAGCCGGGGACCAGCAAUGGCCUGGCGCUGAUAGAUGAGCCGAUGUCGGAUUAGCUAGUUGGUGAGGUAAUGGCUCACCAAGGCGACGAUCCGUAGCUGGUCUGAGAGGAUGAUCAGUCACACUGGAACUGAGACACGGUCCAGACUCCGUACGGGAGGCAGCAGGUGGGGGAAAU
RNAcentral lists this ribosomal RNA (348 nucleotides) under uncultured soil bacterium. Its description in RNAcentral is "bacterial SSU rRNA". It matches the Rfam family "Bacterial small subunit ribosomal RNA", at positions 26 to 364 of the family's 1533-position model. The record is from RNAcentral.